RNAcentral lists this ribosomal RNA (387 nucleotides) under uncultured bacterium. RNAcentral describes it as "bacterial SSU rRNA". It matches the Rfam family "Bacterial small subunit ribosomal RNA", at positions 30 to 418 of the family's 1533-position model. The record is from RNAcentral.
AUUGAACGCUGGCGGCAUGCCUUACACAUGCAAGUCGAACGGCAGCGCGGGGGCAACCCUGGCGGCGAGUGGCGAACGGGUGAGUAAUAUAUCGGAACGUACCCAAGAGUGGGGGAUAACGUAGCGAAAGUUACGCUAAUACCGCAUACGAUCUAAGGAUGAAAGCAGGGGACCGCAAGGCCUUGUGCUCCUGGAGCGGCCGAUAUCUGAUUAGCUAGUUGGUGGGGUAAAGGCCUACCAAGGCAUCGAUCAGUAGCUGGUCUGAGAGGACGACCAGCCACACUGGGACUGAGACACGGCCCAGACUCCUACGGGAGGCAGCAGUGGGAAUUUUGGACAAUGGGGGCAACCCUGAUCCAGCAAUGCCGCGUGAGUGAAGAAGGCCUC